This 77-nucleotide transfer RNA is filed under the name Phytophthora infestans T30-4. It matches the Rfam family "tRNA". Rfam says of the family: Transfer RNA (tRNA) molecules are approximately 80 nucleotides in length. Their secondary structure includes four short double-helical elements and three loops (D, anti-codon, and T loops). Lineage: Eukaryota; Oomycota; Peronosporomycetes; Peronosporales; Peronosporaceae. The record is from Rfam by way of RNAcentral.
CGGAAGGUAGCAUAGUCUGGCCUAAUGCCUCCUGUUUUGGGAACAGAAGAUCAAAGGUUCAAAUCCUUUUCUUCCGA